AACGAACGCUGGCGGCAGGCCUAACACAUGCAAGUCGAGCGAACCCUUCGGGGUUAGCGGCGGACGGGUUAGUAACGCGUGGGAAUAUGCCCAAAGGUACGGAAUAGCCUCGGGAAACUGAGAGUAAUACCGUAUGUGCCCUUCGGGGGAAAGAUUUAUCGCCUUUGGAUUAGCCCGCGUUGGAUUAGGUAGUUGGUGGGGUAAUGGCCUACCAAGCCGACGAUCCACAGCUGGUUUGAGAGGAUGAUCAGCAACACUGGGACUGAGACACGGCCCAGACUCCUACGGGAGGCAGCAGUGGGGAAUCUUAGACAAUGGGGGAAACCCUGAUCUAGCCAUGCCGCGUGGACGAUGAAGGCCUUAGGGUUGUAAAGUCCUUUCAGCUGGGAAGAUAAUGACGGUACCAGCAGAAGAAGCCCCGGCUAACUCCGUGCCAGCCGCCGCCGUAA
RNAcentral lists this ribosomal RNA (449 nucleotides) under uncultured bacterium. RNAcentral's name for it is "partial 16S ribosomal RNA". It matches the Rfam family "Bacterial small subunit ribosomal RNA", at positions 29 to 523 of the family's 1533-position model. The record is from RNAcentral.